RNAcentral lists this ribosomal RNA (468 nucleotides) under uncultured bacterium. Its description in RNAcentral is "partial 16S ribosomal RNA". It matches the Rfam family "Bacterial small subunit ribosomal RNA", at positions 28 to 507 of the family's 1533-position model. The record is from RNAcentral.
GACGAACGCUGGCGGCGUGCUUAACACAUGCAAGUCGAACGGAAAGGCCCUGCUUUUGUGGGGUGCUCGAGUGGCGAACGGGUGAGUAACACGUGAGUAACCUGCCCUUGACUUUGGGAUAACUUCAGGAAACUGGGGCUAAUACCGGAUAGGAGCUCCUGCUGCAUGGUGGGGGUUGGAAAGUUUCGGCGGUUGGGGAUGGACUCGCGGCUUAUCAGCUUGUUGGUGGGGUAGUGGCUUACCAAGGUUUUGACGGGUAGCCGGCCUGAGAGGGUGACCGGCCACCUUGGGACUGAGAUACGGCCCAGACUCCUACGGGAGGCAGCAGUGGGGAAUAUUGCACAAUGGGCGGAAGCCUGAUGCAGCAACGCCGCGUGCGGGAUGACGGCCUUCGGGUUGUAAACCGCUUUCGCCUGUGACGAAGCGUGAGUGACGGUAAUGGGUAAAGAAGCACCGGCUAACUACGUG